RNAcentral lists this unclassified non-coding RNA (548 nucleotides) under Hevea brasiliensis (rubber tree). The record is from RNAcentral. Lineage: Eukaryota; Viridiplantae; Streptophyta; Magnoliopsida; Malpighiales; Euphorbiaceae.
UUUUUAUGUGUGAUGGAUGCUUCAUUAAGUUACAACUUUGUUAUAGAUGCUUUCAAUAUUUUGAAUAAAAAUUAGUUGUUCAUUUAACAAGGCUCCCCUUUGUGUUUUUAUGCGACAUAAUUAUUAGAAGAUUAUCUAAUUACUUUAUUUUGGUCCAUAUGUUAUGGCUUACAUGCUUUCAUAAGAGCUAGCCUUUACAAAUGUAGGAAAACCCUCCCACUUAAUCUUCUUCUUGUAUAAUGGAAAGAUGAAAACUUGUGAGAUUUUUUUUUGGGAAGCCAUUUUAGGGGGCUUGAGUAUCUUCAAAAAAGACAUUUUUGUUCACUCUCAUGAGUUGUGUGAUUGAAAAACAGAAAGUUAGGAACUCUCAAGUUGGCUUUUCCUUUGAAGUGACUAGAUAGCAUGUUUAUGGAAUAUGGAUAGGAAUUUUUUUUAACUAGGAUGGGGAAAGGAAUAAUAGCUGGAAUGUGUAAACUCUUGGGUAAAUAUAUGAUCUUAAUAUUUGAAAGUCUAAUAAAAGAGGUUCAUGUUUAUGGAAUAUGGAUAGG